RNAcentral lists this long non-coding RNA (223 nucleotides) under Aquilegia coerulea. Its description in RNAcentral is "long non-coding RNA (ACOE_LNC000282)". The record is from RNAcentral. Lineage: Eukaryota; Viridiplantae; Streptophyta; Magnoliopsida; Ranunculales; Ranunculaceae.
CACUGCAAGUCUACAACUUCAAACUUAUAUAAUCUCGUUUCAUACAUAGGAAAUGGGAUUUUCAUAUGUAUUCAACAUAGUACAAGUAAAAGGUUAAUUGAAGGUAUACACUUAUUCAAAUAAUUUAACUUUUAAGUUCAAACUUCAAAAAUACCAUGGCCAGAACGUUUUCACGAAUUUUGUCGACUCUAUAUGAUGGGAGUUACAAACACACAAAGUAGUU